UACGUAGGGUGCAAGCGUUGUCCGGAAUUAUUGGGCGUAAAGAGCUCGUAGGCGGUUUGUCGCGUCGAAUGUGAAAACCCGGGGCUCAACCCCGGGCCUGCAUUCGAUACGGGCAGACUAGAGUGUGGUAGGGGAGACUGGAAUUCCUGGUGUAGCGGUGGAAUGCGCAGAUAUCAGGAGGAACACCGAUGGCGAAGGCAGGUCUCUGGGCCACUACUGACGCUGAGAAGCGAAAGCAUGGGGAGCGAACAGG
RNAcentral lists this ribosomal RNA (253 nucleotides) under uncultured bacterium. RNAcentral describes it as "partial 16S ribosomal RNA". It matches the Rfam family "Bacterial small subunit ribosomal RNA", at positions 524 to 776 of the family's 1533-position model. The record is from RNAcentral.